ACCAGGAAGAUACUGGAACUAAAAAUCACAGAAUUUUAGGAGCUAGGUGUUUAAUCUGUCACAGGAUAGGUUGAAAAUAUUGUAAUAUUAACCUCAAAAAAUCAUAUUCCAAGAAUAUGGGAGCUAAUGGUAAAUUGGACUACAAGGAGUUUCCUUACAGAUUUUUACACCAAUUAAAGAGCGUCAAAGAAUUCUGUUUUUCUGGAAAUAACAAAAAGUAUCAUGAUGUGUUGAAUUUCAAUGAUGAUUCUUGAAGGCAUUUAGAACUUAAAUGCACUGGGUCUUUAAUGUAUUUGUAUGUAUGGAGUUAAUGAGGAUCGACUCCUCGAGUCCAGAAUAGAUACCGCGAUACUGCACACAUCGUGGGCUCUGACGUCGCGCCUCUGACGUCACACAUCACCUCUCUGGGUCCAGGUAGCUAUGAGGACGCGUCAGGUCCAGCCCCACGGGAGGCGCCUCCCACAGCUCCCUUCAUGUUUGUCCCUCCCUUCUCUUUAACUCACCUGGUCAGGGCUUCCCGGGCCUCAGGGUGCCGGAAAUUAGGCCAAGGGAGUGCUUGUUUCAGUGAAGCGGGAAGGAGGGAAUUGGACGGAGGAACGUGACGGUACCACUCUAGGCCAUGGAGAUUCACGUGGCGCCAAGUGUCGGGGUAAGGCACUCUCUGUGGCCGUUGACGGUCAAGUGAUUCACCUUUAUGUGAUUCACCUUUAUGCACCUUUCGUGUACACGUCACGUGACGCACAGAACGCUGGGCCCCUGGGGAAUGUUUCUGUAACAAUGGUCUGGCGGUUGAUACCUUCAUUGUCUGUACAAUGGUCCACCCACUUUUUUUUAGCUGGGGUCAUGAUUUGUUCGCUCAGAGAAUUGCUACUGUCACGGUGGUGGAGUCAUAUGUGCACUGCUUCUUUCACGCAGGCCUCUGGAGGCACCAGAAGGUGCUCACUUUUGGAGCUAGGGAAGUCGGGUCAGCUAGAUUCCACCACUGUCCUUCACUCCUGUUGGGACUGUCAGCCUGGUGGAGUGAGCUGCCAGCUGAACUUUGCUAUCCUGCUAAGACUUUUUCUGCGGUGCUUCCCGCAUGUGAUCUUACCACCAUCAUCUGGUCAGUUUGGCCCACCUCUCAACUAAAGCAUAAACCCCCUUACACGCCCUUUUUUAUUGGGCCCCCUUCAGGCUGAUAAAAACAGUCUUUUUCAGUGGUCUUCAGCCUUUAUUUGAAAAAUGUGACAGCAAAGUGGAUGCCUGAGACAAUUCACCAUUGUUUGAAGACUCUUUGUUGGAACCAAAAUUGAUCUCAGAAAUGGGAUACCCUCUAUUAUCGAGAAACUUUUCAAAAACAGAAACAUCUCACUCCUCAGACUGCUGAAAUGCCUUUCUGUGACCUGAAGGCUGUGAAAUACAUGGAGUGUUCCACAUUCACACAGAAAAACCUAAAGGAUGCAUUUGACAAAGCACUAGUGACUGCCUCAGAGGCUGUGGAACUGAAGAAAAGCCAUAGGCAGAGGUGCCCACUGGGCUUUGGACACAGCAUUUUCCCAACAUCACUGCCUGGUAUACUCUAUUUGAGGGAAAAUUACCAACCUGUUAUUGAGUGCUGGUGGACAUUGAGAAGCCAACUAAGUAAGUAAUAACAUGAUAUGUUAUUCUCUGACAUGCCCAUUCUGGAAUAGGUCAAAAAUUUUAAAAUGCCAACGAAGUGGGUAUUGCCCAGCAAGCAUGCAUUAUUAAAUGGAAACGAUAUUUCCAGAAAAGAAGCAAGACUUGGUGUAUUCUUUUCUAUUACUGCUGUAACAAAAUAUGACAAACUUAGUGACUUAAAACAAUCUUGUCUUACAGUUCUGAA
Molecule: long non-coding RNA, 1843 nt
Organism: Bubalus bubalis (water buffalo)
Lineage: Eukaryota; Metazoa; Chordata; Mammalia; Artiodactyla; Bovidae
Exons: 3
Source: RefSeq, a predicted model, not a curated record